AUGGGAACAAAUCAGCAACUCCUCACCCUUGCCAGCAAAGCUACCUGCUCCCUGAUGGCUAGUGACAGAAGACCACAACACCCAACAGGACAGGAGAGAACUGCAAGGCGACAGUGGGAACACGGGACGAUGCAGAGCUGCUCAGUGUCAGAUGCUGAGGAUGUAGCAAGAGUGUCUUACCAGGGUGAAAAGGUCUGGGUUAGCACACAGAAAAUACCAUCCCAACAAGGAUUAAUCCUAGAGGUAAUGAGAGGACCUGAAGCAGCAUUUAGGUUUCUUCCUCUUACCUGCCAGUCACUCAGACACAUCCUCAGACUCCGUGCUGGUACAGAACCACAUCAUGCAGCAACACAACCAGAGAGGAAAGGUUUUAGUAUGGGCCCCAUCCUGAAAGCCCUCAGCACACUCGGGUGUGAAGAUGCAUCGUCAAGUCUCAGUGCCUUCUGUGCAAAGAUUAAAGACAUGCAAUAGAAUAAUAAACAAAAAUCAGACGGUUGUUUAUUAUUUACU
RNAcentral lists this long non-coding RNA (510 nucleotides) under Anser brachyrhynchus (Pink-footed goose). RNAcentral's name for it is "lncRNA (ENSABRG00000000860.1)". Lineage: Eukaryota; Metazoa; Chordata; Aves; Anseriformes; Anatidae. The record is from RNAcentral.